ACUCCUACGGGAGGCAGCAGUGGGGAAUCUUGCACAAUGGAGGAAACUCUGAUGCAGCGACGCCGCGUGAGCGAUGAAGCCCUUCGGGGUGUAAAGCUCUUUCGACGGGAACGAUAAUGACGGUACCCGAAGAAGAAGCCCCGGCUAACUUCGUGCCAGCAGCCGCGGUAAUACGUAGGGUGCGAGCGUUAAUCGGAAUUACUGGGCGUAAAGUGUGCGCAGGCGGCCGCGCAAGUCGAGUGUGAAAGCCCCGGGCUUAACCUGGGAACUGCGUUUGAUACGGAUGGGCUAGAGUUCGGGAGAGGAGAGUGGAAUUCCCAGUGUAGAGGUGAAAUUCGUAGAUAUUGGGAAGAACACCGGUGGCGAAGGCGGCUCUCUGGACCGAGACUGACGCUGAGGCGCGAAAGCGUGGGGAGCAAACAGGAUUAGAUACCCUGGUAGUCCACGCUGUAAACGAUGUGUGCUAGACGUUGGGGAGCCUAGCUCUUCGGUGUCGCAGCUAACGCGGUAAGCACACCGCCUGGGGAGUACGGCCGCAAGGUUAAAACUUAAAGGAAUUGACG
RNAcentral lists this ribosomal RNA (563 nucleotides) under uncultured Alphaproteobacteria bacterium. Its description in RNAcentral is "bacterial SSU rRNA". It matches the Rfam family "Bacterial small subunit ribosomal RNA", at positions 335 to 915 of the family's 1533-position model. The record is from RNAcentral. Lineage: Bacteria; Pseudomonadati; Pseudomonadota; Alphaproteobacteria.